GCCCUUGAAGUAGGGGAUAACACUUGGAAACAGGUGCUAAUACCGUAUAACAACCAAAACCACCUGGUUUUGGUUUAAAAGAUGGCUUCGGCUAUCACUUUAGGAUGGACCCGCGGCGUAUUAGCUUGUUGGUAAGGUAACGGCCUACCAAGGCAAUGAUACGUAGCCGACCUGAGAGGGUAAUCGGCCACAUUGGGACUGAGACACGGCCCAAACUCCUACGGGAGGCAGCAGUAGGGAAUCUUCCACAAUGGACGAAAGUCUGAUGGAGCAACGCCGCGUGAGUGAUGAAGGGUUUCGGCUCGUAAAACUCUGUUGUUGGAGAAGAACAGGUGUGAGAGUAACUGUUCACAUCUUGACGGUAUCCAACCAGAAAGCCACGGCUAACUACGUGCCAGCAGCCGCGGUAAUACGUAGGUGGCAAGCGUUGUCCGGAUUUAUUGGGCGUAAAGCGAGCGCAGGCGGUUUCUUAGGUCUGAUGUGAAAGCCUUCGGCUUAACCGGAGAAGUGCAUCGGAAACCAGGAGACUUGAGUGCAGAAGAGGACAGUGGAACUCCAUGUGUAGCGGUGAAAUGCGUAGAUAUAUGGAAGAACACCA
Molecule: ribosomal RNA, 598 nt
Filed under: uncultured bacterium
Lineage: Bacteria
Description: bacterial SSU rRNA
Rfam family: Bacterial small subunit ribosomal RNA
Source: RNAcentral